RNAcentral lists this ribosomal RNA (253 nucleotides) under uncultured bacterium. Its description in RNAcentral is "partial 16S ribosomal RNA". It matches the Rfam family "Bacterial small subunit ribosomal RNA", at positions 524 to 776 of the family's 1533-position model. The record is from RNAcentral.
UACGGAGGGUGCGAGCGUUGUCCGGAAUCAUUGGGCGUAAAGGGCGCGUAGGCGGCAAUUCAAGUCAUCUGUGAAAUCUCCGGGCUUAACCCGGAACGGUCAGAUGAUACUGCUUUGCUAGAGUGCGGAAGGGGCAAUCGGAAUUCUUGGUGUAGCGGUGAAAUGCGUAGAUAUCAGGAGGAACACCGGUGGCGAGGGCGGGUCUCUGGGCCGUUACUGACGCUGAGGAGCGAAAGCGUGGGGAGCGAACAGG